CCCCAUAGUCUGGGAUACCACUUGGAAACAGGUGCUAAUACCGGAUAAGAAAGCGGAUCGCAUGAUCAGCUUUUAAAAGGCGGCGUAAGCUGUCGCUAUGGGAUGGCCCCGCGGUGCAUUAGCUAGUUGGUAAGGUAAAGGCUUACCAAGGCGAUGAUGCAUAGCCGAGUUGAGAGACUGAUCGGCCACAUUGGGACUGAGACACGGCCCAAACUCCUACGGGAGGCAGCAGCG
Molecule: ribosomal RNA, 234 nt
Filed under: uncultured Lactobacillus sp.
Lineage: Bacteria; Bacillati; Bacillota; Bacilli; Lactobacillales; Lactobacillaceae
Description: partial 16S ribosomal RNA
Rfam family: Bacterial small subunit ribosomal RNA
Source: RNAcentral